This is a non-coding RNA of Punica granatum (pomegranate), 939 nucleotides long. Lineage: Eukaryota; Viridiplantae; Streptophyta; Magnoliopsida; Myrtales; Lythraceae. The record is from RefSeq and is a predicted model, not a curated record.
CCAUUUCAUUUAUUUUGUGUUCCUUCUUUCCUUUCCCCUGAGGGAGAUAACGGAACAAAGUCGGGCAAGUAGAGGAACACCGAUUUGAGUGAAAGAGUUUAACUCGUUUUACGGUAACGGAGCCGAGGAGACCGAGAAUACACACCCGGAAGGCUCAACUCAUUGAGUUAUCAUUUUGGGGGUCGUUAUGAGCUAGGAGCCAGACUAACCGCAUAGGAUAUCUUUUUGGACAACGGGGAUCAGUGCGGAGGAUCUUUUUGCAGUAGGGCCCACUCCUAGUAUAAGUAGUAAGUUCUUGUAGAAUGUUAUGAUUAAGUUACGACCUGAAACUUUUAUUUAGUUGGGUUAGUGAUAGGGUUGUGGAAAGUACUCUCUUGAGAGUUAUAUAUAUAUAUAUCAGAACCUGCUGAAUUGGUUAUAUGAUUUUGGUAUAGCUUGUUGAAUUGGUUAACUGUUUGGGAGGUGGAAAACAUGUUAUGAAUAAAUUGUUUAUGUGAUAAUAGAUAUCGAGAAAAUAUAGGGGAAAUUCUGUCGAAAUUUCAGGUCGUGACAUUGCUUUUGGUGGUUACAACACCAGGGGGUGCAAGCACUGUUUUCCUUUCGUGUAUUUGUAGGGUCUGAUAAUUUCGAAGUUUUUCUUUUUCGUUACAGGGGAGACUUAAGGAGAAGGAAUAUAAGAGAUGUAGGAAGCCCCAGUGAGGGUAAUGUGUCCACAACCUCUUGGCUGUAGGUCAAGCGAGAUUUUUUCAUGGAAUCCCCUUUCUCAGCUUGAAGCCAUAUUCAUUGCAUUGGUUGAAUUUCAAAUCGCCACAACUCAAUUUCCACAGAGCAUGUUCAGAUGAUCAAUGCUCCUUCCCAUAAUCUUCAAGUUAUUUGGAAGUAGUUUUAGUACUAUAUUUAUAUCACAUUAGCUAUAGAUAGAGUUACUUCCGUUUUUUA